UGCACAGGAAGGGAGAAUGUUGGGAAAUCCAAGGACAUUUCAAGGUGAGGGAAUGACUGUUUGGAGGCAAACUCGGGACUCGCCUUGUCCUCCUUCUUUGGCAGCAGCUGGCAGGGAAGGGAGAAGAGGUGCCCGUGUGGGACGAGGCUGGAGAGAGCGAGCAGAGGAGCAGCCUCGGGCUGGAGAGGGGCAGGAGAAAGGCAGAGGGACCUCCCUGGUGUCACCAGAGCACCUGUGACAGAAUGGACACUGUGAGGGCAAGUGGAGCCCCAAAUUCCCUGCUGAAUUCCUGCUGGAAUAACCUGACAGUGCCUCAUGGAGUCUGGACACUCCCAUGCAGAGCUGCCACUUGAACAGCAGCUGUGGCAGGAACCAGCAGAGGUUCCAGGACAAGGACAGGUUUAUAUUCCAGAGAAUUUGCUAUUUAUAACCCUCAUCCCCCAGCCCCGUUGAUGUCCCUGGGGGACACUUGACAGAGUUCCCUGGAAUUCAGCUGAUUUCAUCCCCCUGAGUUCAGGCUCCAGUUGAUGUUUUAGAGCAGGAGAAGGCGGUGGCUGGACACGCUCCUGGCCCGUGCUGAGGCAGACCCUGUACCCAGGGGAGGACAUCUCUCCCUGCAGAAGCUGAGUCCAUUUCAGAGCCCCAGGAAGUCCUUUUCCCUCAGGAAAGGGAUGCACAUCCCUGUUUUCAGCACACCUCCAGUGGGACCCACCUGUGAAAGCUUUCCAUCAGUUCUGUGGUUCCAGCUGAUUCCCUGAAAAACUCCAAACUUAAUGCAGACAAAACUUCA
Vidua macroura (Pin-tailed whydah) is the source of this 790-nucleotide long non-coding RNA. RefSeq lists it as uncharacterized. The record is from RefSeq and is a predicted model, not a curated record. The transcript is spliced from 2 exons. Lineage: Eukaryota; Metazoa; Chordata; Aves; Passeriformes; Viduidae.